RNAcentral lists this ribosomal RNA (484 nucleotides) under uncultured bacterium. Its description in RNAcentral is "partial 16S ribosomal RNA". It matches the Rfam family "Bacterial small subunit ribosomal RNA", at positions 30 to 507 of the family's 1533-position model. The record is from RNAcentral.
AUUGAACGCUGGCGGCAUGCCUUACACAUGCAGGUCGAACGGCAGCACGGACUUCGGUCUGGUGGCGAGUGGCGAACGGGUGAGUAAUGUAUCGGAACGUACCUUUCAGUGGGGGAUAACGUAGCGAAAGUUACGCUAAUACCGCAUAUUCUGUGAGCAGGAAAGCAGGGGAUCGAAAGACCUUGCGCUGAUUGAGCGGCCGAUAUCAGAUUAGCUAGUUGGUGGGGUAAAGGCCUACCAAGGCGACGAUCUGUAGCGGGUCUGAGAGGAUGAUCCGCCACACUGGAACUGAGACACGGUCCAGACUCCUACGGGAGGCAGCAGUGGGGAAUUUUGGACAAUGGGGGCAACCCUGAUCCAGCCAUGCCGCGUGAGUGAAGAAGGCCUUCGGGUUGUAAAGCUCUUUCGGCCGGGAAGAAAUCGCAUAGGCUAAUACCCUGUGUGGAUGACGGUACCGGAAUAAGAAGCACCGGCUAACUACGUG